Molecule: long non-coding RNA, 296 nt
Filed under: Setaria viridis
Lineage: Eukaryota; Viridiplantae; Streptophyta; Magnoliopsida; Poales; Poaceae
Description: long non-coding RNA (SVIR_LNC008833)
Source: RNAcentral
GUAUUUCUUCAAGUAUUUUCCAUUUAGAGCCCUUGUGAACUCUUCUCCUUCAAGUGUCUCCAAAAUAUACGCAUUGCCUGGAGCACACCGGUUUAUCCGAUAUGGUCCCUCCCACGUAGGCGACCAUUUUCCAAAUUUAGGAUCUUUAGACCCAAUUGGCAAUACCAGUUUCCAGACUAGAUCUCCUUGGAAAAACUCUUUGACCUUGACCUUUUUGUCAUACCAUCUAGCCACCCUUUUCUUAUUUUCUUCGAUACUGAACAAAACCCUUAGCCGAUGACCUGCUAAGUCUUCCA